AUGGCGGCGGCGAACGGAGGCGGCGCGGCGCUGUUCAGCGACGAGGAACUCCGGGAUGUGAGCGGGCUGCGCCUGCGCGAGGGCUUCGUGGAGAUGAUGUGCGGAUGCACCAGCCGCCGCUACGGCGACGCCGUAGGCCGCCUCCUAAUCUACCCGUCCGGCGAGCUGGAGAUUAGCUGCGACUGCACGCCCGGCUGCCGCGAAGAAAAGCUGACUCCUUCAGCGUUUGAGAAGCACUCUGGAAGGGAGACUGCAGGAAAGUGGAGGAACACCGUGUGGGUCAUGAUUGAUGGAGAAAAGGUUCCACUGGGAAAGACGGAAUUUCUCAAAUACUACAACCUGUCAAACAAGUCUGUUAAUGGUUCGAACAGAAGUCGUAGUGGACGUCCAUUGCACCGUGAUGAGUUCAUUCGCUGCACAAGAUGUGACAAGGAGAGGAGGUUCCGUCUUCGGACCAAAGAAGAGUGCCGUAUUUACCAUGAUGCUCUUGCAAAACCUAACCGGACAUGUGCAAAUUUGACGGCUGACAGCGUCACCUGCGAUGACGACGAGGAGCGAGGGAGCCGCAAGGUGAUCAAGGGCUGCUCCCGCGCUGCGUCGUGCGCGGGCUGCGAGAAGUGCGUGUGCUUCGGGUGCGAGAUGUGCCGCUUCACCGACUGCGGAUGCCAGACCUGCGUCGACUUCUACCGCAACUCCAAGGAGUAG
This 705-nucleotide ribosomal RNA is filed under the name Triticum aestivum (bread wheat). RNAcentral describes it as "partial small subunit ribosomal RNA". The record is from RNAcentral. Lineage: Eukaryota; Viridiplantae; Streptophyta; Magnoliopsida; Poales; Poaceae.